AUUGAACGCUGGCGGCAUGCCUUACACAUGCAAGUCGAACGGCAGCACGGGAGCUUGCUCCUGGUGGCGAGUGGCGAACGGGUGAGUAAUACAUCGGAACGUACCCAGUAGUGGGGGAUAACGCACCGAAAGGUGCGCUAAUACCGCAUACGACCUACGGGUGAAAGCGGGGGACCGUAAGGCCUCGCGCUAUUGGAGCGGCCGAUGUCUGAUUAGCUAGUUGGCGGGGUAAAAGCCCACCAAGGCGAAGAUCAGUAGCUGGUCUGAGAGGACUAUCAGCCACACUGGGACUGAGACACGGCCCAGACUCCUACGGGAGGCAGCAGUGGGGAAUUUUGGACAAUGGGGGCAACCCUGAUCCAGCAAUGCCGCGUGUGCGAAGAAGGCCUUCGGGUUGUAAGGCACUUUUGUCAGGGAAGAAAUCUUUCAGGCUAAUACCCUUGGAAGGAUGACGGUACCUGAAGAAUAAGCACCGGCUAACUACGUGCCAGCAGCCGCGGUAA
Molecule: ribosomal RNA, 503 nt
Filed under: uncultured bacterium
Lineage: Bacteria
Description: partial 16S ribosomal RNA
Rfam family: Bacterial small subunit ribosomal RNA
Source: RNAcentral